UCCCUGGUGGCUCAGUCAGUAAAGAAUCUGCCUGCAAAGCAGGAGACCCAGGUUUGAUCCCUGGUUUGAGAU
This 72-nucleotide transfer RNA is filed under the name Bos taurus (domestic cattle). It matches the Rfam family "tRNA". Rfam says of the family: Transfer RNA (tRNA) molecules are approximately 80 nucleotides in length. RNAcentral also lists the same sequence under 4 other names. The record is from Rfam by way of RNAcentral. Lineage: Eukaryota; Metazoa; Chordata; Mammalia; Artiodactyla; Bovidae.